Molecule: ribosomal RNA, 331 nt
Filed under: uncultured eukaryote
Lineage: Eukaryota
Description: partial 18S ribosomal RNA
Rfam family: Eukaryotic small subunit ribosomal RNA
Source: RNAcentral
CCCUUAGAUGUUCUGGGCCGCACGCGCGCUACACUGUUCGACGCAGCGAGUCUUAACCUUGACCGAAAGGUUUGGGUAAUCUUCAGCAAAGUCGAACGUGAUGGGGAUCGAUCAUUGCAAUUAUUGAUCGUGAACGAGGAAUUCCUAGUAAGUGCUAGUCAUCAGCUUGCGCUGAUUACGUCCCUGCCCUUUGUACACACCGCCCGUCGCUACUACCGAUUGAAUGGUUUAGUGAGAUCUCUGGAUUGACGCUGGCUAGGGGGCGACCCUUGGCCAGACUGUUGAGAAACUGCUCAAACUUGAUCAUUUAGAGGAAGUAAAAGUCGUAACA